This is a long non-coding RNA of Thalassophryne amazonica, 1830 nucleotides long. RefSeq lists it as uncharacterized. NCBI's taxonomy places the organism in Eukaryota, Metazoa, Chordata, Actinopteri, Batrachoidiformes, Batrachoididae. The record is from RefSeq and is a predicted model, not a curated record. The transcript is spliced from 3 exons.
UUCGCGGAAAUGGCGACGGAAAAAACACAGCUGGACUUUACAAGAGACAACACUUGUCAACGUUUUAAAAGAAUUUACAAUAAGUGGAAAAGUUUGACGGACGUAAGUUGGCAGCACAGACUUGUUGUGUCCGGAGUUAGCAGGUCAGUAGAGCAAAUUAAGAACCGCUGGGAAGCAACGAGCGCUUUGUACAAGGAGAAGCUAAACGAGCAGAAGCGGCGCGGCUCCAACCAGCUUCACCUAUUAUGAAUUAAUGGAGUAAUAAUCGGAGGUCGACCCUGUCCAAGGAUCACACUGGAGUAGAAGUCGGUUUUACACCGGAGGAAAAUUCACCCGAGACACCAGAAAGCCAGGAGAUGAUGAUGAUGUAAAGAGCACGUUGAAGGAGAUUGAUGACAGCAGAUCUCCACAACCUGAAGACCACAGAGGAGCCUCCAGACAAAAAAAAGAGUAAUAUGCUGCUAAAUAAGACCACAAUCGAAAGCCAUCAUCUGGUGAUGCCACGCUCCUGGGUGAUCGAUCAGCCCAACAGAGAUCUUUCCUGGACAACAUGCAACAGCAGCACGAGAGGAAUCUGGAAAGAGAAGAGAGGCUUCUUUCUAGGUUUAUGGAAGAAAGUAUCUGCUCAACUGAAAGCAUUAUAGGGCAACUGUUUAAUGGUCUUCAGGCUCUCCUUUCUCAGUCCUACUCAUCAGCUCCACAUUUACAUGAACAAAGUUAGUCUCGGACCUAGUUGAGACAAGCAUGUAACAGCCUGAAAACUACCACUCGUUCUGAGUGUUACUUCAAAUACAGCUGGAUUUUCUAAACUGCAGCAGGUAUAGAAUUUCCAAGGUACACAAUAUGCUCAGAAUGACCAGUACAUGUUUAGAAGGGACACAGAAGAGUGUAAAAUUUCAAAUUUUUAUAUUUUAAGAAGAAAAAAAAACAAAGCAUUAGAUCAAACAACCUACAUACGGUCUGGAAUCACCACAUAUUUAGUAUCUUAAACUUUCUGUUGUGGAUGUUCCCUGAUAAUCUUUAAAAUGUUUAAGAGCUCUAGAUACUGCUGUCUGCCAAAGAUACAAGGUUUGUUUUGUAUUUUCCACUUUAAAUGCAUAUUCUUUUGAUAACAGUAGGACUGAAAAUAAAAAUGUAAUAUUUGGAAAAUAUUCAUUUUUCUUUCGAUGUGUGGUUAUACAUUGACCCACUUAUUUUAACCAUUUUCUCUUAAAAUAUAAAAAUAGAAAUUUUACUUUUUUUUACCCUCCCAAAGAUGUACUGGUCAUUUUCAACAUGUUCAACACCUUGGAAAAUCUCUAGCUGCUGCUGUUUAGAAAACACAUCUGUAUUUGAAGUAACACUUGGGAUGAAAAAGGGCGUGAACAUUUAGGGCUGUUAGUCCUGGACAGAGAUUUUGGCACAUAUCUCAAGUUGUUCAUUGGGGUCAUAUUAGUCUGGAACAGGUGAGUUAACCUCUCCUAAAUGAUGUGCACGCAUCCCAGCUAGGUCCUCUACUAAGUCCACUAUUUCAUCACGAAUCACAGCGAGCCACCUGACCACGUGACACAAGUUCCCACCUGCCACAUCGGCACACUCAGAAUAAUCAAAAUAACAGUGGACUACAGCCUACACAACACAUAGAAACUGAAUAUAAGAAACUGGCCCUGAUGUUUAGCUUCUUCACAUUUUUCCUGGAAGUAUGUAAUUUUGCUGACAAAGAGAUGGCUUUAGGGUUUGGUUUUAUGAUCUGACAUCACAGUAAUGGCAGUUUAAGAAGUAAUGCCAAGCUCUGAUGGAAGUGAAUAAAAGUUUUUAGCACUAUAUUUUAUUUUUAACCAAAUUGUUGUG